AAUCAACGCUGGCGGCGUGCCUCAGACAUGCAAGUCGAACGAUUAAAGCUCCCUUCGGGGAGUGCAUAAAGUGGCGCACGGGUGAGUAACACGUAAGUAAUCUACCCUCGGGUGGGGAAUAACAUCGGGAAACCGAUGCUAAUACCGCAUAAUGCAGCGGCACCGCAAGGUGACAGUUGUUAAAGAUUUAUUGCCUGGGGAGGAGCUUGCGGCAGAUUAGCUUGUUGGUAAGGAACGGCUUACCAAGGCUACGAUCUGUAUCCGGUCUAAGAGGACGGUCGGACACACUGACACUGAAUAACGGGUCAGACUCCUACGGGAGGCAGCAGUCGGGAAUUUUGGGCAAUGGGGGAAACCCUGACCCAGCAACGCCGCGUGAAGGAUGAAGUAUUUCGGUAUGUAAACUUCGAAAGAAUAGGAAGAAUUAAUGACGGUACUAUUUAUAAGGUCCGCUAACUACGUGCCAGCAGCCGCCGCCGUAAU
Molecule: ribosomal RNA, 483 nt
Filed under: uncultured bacterium
Lineage: Bacteria
Description: bacterial SSU rRNA
Rfam family: Bacterial small subunit ribosomal RNA
Source: RNAcentral